UGACCUGAUGAUCUCUCUUGGAAUCUCGUUCGGCUGAAUGUUGCUGUUGAGAAACGGAAUCUGAGCAUC
Small nucleolar RNA from Python bivittatus (Burmese python), 69 nucleotides. RefSeq annotates it as small nucleolar RNA SNORD30. Lineage: Eukaryota; Metazoa; Chordata; Lepidosauria; Squamata; Pythonidae. The record is from RefSeq and is a predicted model, not a curated record.